GACGAACGCUGGCGGCGUGCUUAACACAUGCAAGUCGAACGGAAAGGCCCUGCUUUUGUGGGGUGCUCGAGUGGCGAACGGGUGAGUAACACGUGAGUAACCUGCCCUUGACUUUGGGAUAACUUCAGGAAACUGGGGCUAAUACCGGAUAGGAGCUCCUGCUGCAUGGUGGGGGUUGGAAUGUUUCGGCGGUUGGGGAUGGACUCGCGGCUUAUCAGCUUGUUGGUGGGGUAGUGGCUUACCAAGGCUUUGACGGGUAGCCGGCCUGAGAGGGUGACCGGCCCCAUUGGGACUCAGAUACGGCCCGGAGUCCUGCGGGAGACAGCAGUGGGGAAUAGUGCACGAUGGGCGGAAGCCUGAUGCAGCAACGCCGCGUGCGGGAUGACGGCCUUCGGUUUGUAAGCCGCUUUCGCCUGUGACGAAGCGUGAGUGACGGUAAUGGGUAAAGAAGCACCGGCUAACUACGUG
This 468-nucleotide ribosomal RNA is filed under the name uncultured bacterium. RNAcentral describes it as "partial 16S ribosomal RNA". It matches the Rfam family "Bacterial small subunit ribosomal RNA", at positions 28 to 507 of the family's 1533-position model. The record is from RNAcentral.